GAUGAACGCUAGCUACAGGCUUAACACAUGCAAGUCGAGGGGCAGCAUGAACUUAGCUUGCUAAGUUUGAUGGCGACCGGCGCACGGGUGAGUAACACGUAUCCAACCUUCCGUUUACUCAGGGAUAGCCUUUCGAAAGAAAGAUUAAUACCUGAUAGUAUGGUGAGAUUGCAUGAUAGCACCAUUAAAGAUUUAUUGGUAAACGAUGGGGAUGCGUUCCAUUAGGUAGUAGGCGGGGUAACGGCCCACCUAGCCGACGAUGGAUAGGGGUUCUGAGAGGAAGGCCCCCCACAUUGGAACUGAAACACGGUCCAAACUCCUACGGGAGGCAGCAGUGAGGAAUAUUGGUCAAUGGACGAGAGUCUGAACCAGCCAAGUAGCGUGAAGGAUGAAGGUCUUACGGAUUGUAAACUGCUUUUAUGCGGGGAUAAAGUUGCCCACGCGUGGGUUUUUGCAGGUACCGCAUGAAUAAGGACCGGCUAAUUCCGUGCCAGCAGCCGCGGU
This 504-nucleotide ribosomal RNA is filed under the name uncultured bacterium. RNAcentral describes it as "bacterial SSU rRNA". It matches the Rfam family "Bacterial small subunit ribosomal RNA", at positions 28 to 521 of the family's 1533-position model. The record is from RNAcentral.